CAACCUUUCAGCAACCGAUCUCUUGGCUCUGGCAUCGAUGAAGAACGCAGCGAAAUGCGAUAAGUAAUGUGAAUUGCAGAAUUCAGUGAAUCAUCGAAUCUUUGAACGCAUCUUGCGUUCCUUGGUAUUCUGAGGAGCAUGCCUGUUUGAGUGUCAUCA
This 159-nucleotide ribosomal RNA is filed under the name Inocybe dunensis. RNAcentral's name for it is "5.8S ribosomal RNA". It matches the Rfam family "5.8S ribosomal RNA". From Rfam's summary of the family: 5.8S ribosomal RNA (5.8S rRNA) is a component of the large subunit of the eukaryotic ribosome. The record is from RNAcentral. Lineage: Eukaryota; Fungi; Basidiomycota; Agaricomycetes; Agaricales; Inocybaceae.